This 471-nucleotide ribosomal RNA is filed under the name uncultured bacterium. RNAcentral describes it as "bacterial SSU rRNA". It matches the Rfam family "Bacterial small subunit ribosomal RNA", at positions 330 to 793 of the family's 1533-position model. The record is from RNAcentral.
UCCAGACUCCUACGGGAGGCAGCAGUGGGGAAUAUUGCACAAUGGGCGCAAGCCUGAUGCAGCCAUGCCGCGUGUAUGAAGAAGGCCUUCGGGUUGUAAAGUACUUUCAGCGGGGAGGAAGGCGAUAAGGUUAAUAACCUUGUUGAUUGACGUUACCCGCAGAAGAAGCACCGGCUAACUCCGUGCCAGCAGCCGCGGUAAUACGGAGGGUGCAAGCGUUAAUCGGAAUUACUGGGCGUAAAGCGCACGCAGGCGGUCUGUCAAGUCGGAAGUGAAAUCCCCGGGCUCAACCUGGGAACUGCAUCUGAUACUGGAAAGCUUGAGUCUCGUAGAGGGGGGUAGAAUUCCAGGUGUAGCGGUGAAAUGCGUAGAGAUCUGGAGGAAUACCGGUGGCGAAGGCGGCCCCCUGGACGAAGACUGACGCUCAGGUGCGAAAGCGUGGGGAGCAAACAGGAUUAGAUACCCGUGUAU